UACAGAGGUGGCAAGCGUUGUUCGGAAUUACUGGGCGUAAAGGGCGCGUAGGCGGCCAUCUAAGUCGGACGUGAAAUCCCCAGGCUCAACCUGGGAACUGCGUCUGAUACUGGAUGGCUUGAAUUCGGGAGAGGGAUGCAGAAUUCCAGGUGUAGCGGUGAAAUGCGUAGAUAUCUGGAGGAAUACCGGUGGCGAAGGCGGCAUCCUGGACCGACAUUGACGCUGAGGAGCGAAAGCUAGGGGAGCAAACGGG
RNAcentral lists this ribosomal RNA (253 nucleotides) under uncultured bacterium. RNAcentral's name for it is "partial 16S ribosomal RNA". It matches the Rfam family "Bacterial small subunit ribosomal RNA", at positions 524 to 776 of the family's 1533-position model. The record is from RNAcentral.